RNAcentral lists this unclassified non-coding RNA (539 nucleotides) under Hevea brasiliensis (rubber tree). The record is from RNAcentral. Lineage: Eukaryota; Viridiplantae; Streptophyta; Magnoliopsida; Malpighiales; Euphorbiaceae.
CUUGAUUUUCAUUUGCAGGAGCCAGCGUCUUGCUUGGGUGUAGGAUUUGUUUGGCCCGCCAAUAACAUUUCCGGUUCGACUUCAAAUCGGGCCGGAUUAAAGAUGUUUUCGUCCAAACAAGGACUAACUUGUUUUCUUCUCCGCUCUCAGAUUUUUCAGUCUACAGCCUCUGCAAUCUUGCUCAUGGUUUCCUCCUCGUAACCUAAAGCUAGAGAGAUAACCGGAGAGAUGGUUCUCACUCAUCUUCCAAGAUUCCGCUUCUCUAUCUUCACCCGUCCACCGUCCCCCCUGCACACUCACUUCGACUUAAAUCUCUUACCCAGACUGAAGCUCCCCACCGUUGUUAGACCCAAAUACACUUUAUCCACUACUGAGCCUGUGCCCAUCUCCCAUAUCUCCUCAAACAACCAGGAAAUUUUGGAUUCCCCCCAAAUCCAAAUUUCACUUGACAGGCUCUUCGUGCCGCCAGAGACUGAGGUUUCUCUCAAUGAUGCUUCCCUGAGUACCAGAAUCUUGAAAGGGUCCAACAUAGUAUUGAG